GCAAGUGGAUCUCUGUGAGUUCAAGG
Molecule: non-coding RNA, 26 nt
Filed under: Cricetulus griseus (Chinese hamster)
Lineage: Eukaryota; Metazoa; Chordata; Mammalia; Rodentia; Cricetidae
Source: RNAcentral